AAUCCCUCAAAGAAGCCAGAGAACAACUAGCCCUUUCCUCUGGGGCCCACAACUAUGAGAUAUUUCCCAAUUCUCCAGGCCACGGGAUAGUGUUCAACAAAGAAAAUCACUACAGAGAUAUGAAUUCCACUUCUAGGCCUGCCCAUAAAGCCUACCUUGCAAUUCUCUUCUCUUUCUUCCCCAUCCCCAGGCUGGAAGUGAAUACCCAAGGCAGCUUUGGAAGUCCCCAGAUGAAGACAGCAGGGCCAUCCUCUGGAUUGCUAGUUGACUGCAGGAAGCAUGAUCCACCCCACCCCACCUGUAUUCCCCACUGUUGGAGGAACAUUUUACAUGACUGAAGCAUAAAAAAUGAAUGAAGUAUCUUUUUCUGCUAAGCCACUGGGGGCGAUUGGAUUUUAAUUUGCUAUAACGGUUAGCUUUACCUUAACUAAUAUAAUAUCCUACUCAAAAUCUGGAAAAAUGAGUGUCUUCGUCAAGAAUAUCACUAUGCUCUGGGGGUUUCUGGGAACAGUUCUAAUCCUUGGACCAUCAGGAUUUAUGAUCAGCUCUCCUGCAACUUCUCAAAGGUCACAGUAAUGUCACAACCCAUGACUCUUUUCUUUUUUUUUUUUUCCUCUGCAGUAUUUCAUUGGCAGUGAGGGGAAGGAAGAAAAGGCAAGAAUUAUACCUGCACGAUAAAAGGAAAAAGGCAUUUUAUCAACUCCUCCCUUAAAAAAAAAUCUGACAUGUCUACAUAGAAAUUGAAUCCACAAAGGAGUGGUAAAGAGGAGAAAAGAACAUAAUUUAAUUUAUUCUCAGCUAACAGGAAACUGAAAUCCAUACGGCUUUCCUCUCUCCUGCAUGCAAGAAGGGUUGGAGAGCCACAUCUGUGAGAAAUAUGUUUUAUGUCAAACUGAUUAGGAGAGUCAAUAUUAGACAUAACCUCUUUCUCUUUAAGGGUAGGCAGGCACACUCCAUUAUCCAUUUAUUUCUCUGGUGGGGCUUAAAGGGAGGCCUUAAUCAACUUGCCUUAUAACCUAAAGGCAUUUGGAAGAAAAAUCUAUAUUUGUUUCCUUAGUCAGAUUGCUGAAGCGUGAAAUGGGAUGUCUUGUCCUGCUGCCUUUGGUGAAAAUGCCAUAUAUUCUGUUUAUUUAUUUGGAGGGGGAAAACAGGAGAUUUGUGGAAAACUUUUAUAUAUUGCCCACUGGCUCUGAGUGAUGUGGUUCAAAUGGCUAGAGAAAGAUAGACAGAUGCUUUCACGCAGAAAAGACUCGUACAGCAACUUUUCCCUUAAAACACAGGAAGACAGCCAUUGCAGUGGCAUCAACGCUAGAACAAGAAAAAUUGUUAAAUUAGUUCAUUUUCACCUAACUUCUUUGGGUAUCUUAAUUGGCAAGAUUACAAACACAAACUACAAACAUCAUCUGAAAAGUGUCUCACGGCUGAAUCAAAAAAAGGAAAAUGCAGGCUGGUGAGGACCUACACAAAGACCCCAGUCUCAGGACUGGAGGCCUGCUGGAAGGAAAUGUGGUGGAGAGGGAGAGGACAGAGGAAGAGCCUCCACUUGGGUUAACCUAGACCUAGCCUGGAGAUACGUAUAAAACUCUUCAUAGAAGGGAUUCUAUCGAGCUGCUCUGUCUACCUAGGGAAGUAUCUUUUCUCUGUGCCCUGUGUAUAGCACAUUGGCUGCCAGGAAGCUAAGAGAAGCAGGUUUAGAAAACUGAUCAUGGCAAAGCGGGGGAUUACGCAGCAGACAGGGCCCACCCCGUGAGCUCACCACAACUAUCAUUACACUCUGGAUGGCAAAACUUGUCCUGCUGCCUCUACUGACCCUGCAUGCUGGAUACUGGCCCCAGUGGCACUGCUGCAAUUAUCCUAACAGAUCCUUCCUGAUCGCAGCUUCUGUGCACCACUACCUAGGUCCCUAUUCAAAGUCUAGGGUGAAUACAUUUGACUAAUGAAGCCUGGGUCUUGUGCAAUGCCCUACUGCUUGCCAGGGGGUAAAUAAGGGAGUGUCUGGCCUUUGGACAUUUAGAGUGGAGGGAAAUUCAGCCUCCCAAAAAGAUUUCAACUGGAGAAUUCCCAAAACAUAAGAUCUCUAGCAACAGCCUGAAAAAUGACAAAAGCUCCCUACAAGGGGACCAUUCACUUGGCUCAACUGAACCAGGAGAAAUCUUUGGGGAAAGAGAAAUGAAGCACACCACCGGGCAUGGUGGCUCUUGUCUAUAAUCCCAGUACUUUCGGAGGCCAAGGCAGGAGGAUUCCUUGAGGCCAGGAGUUUGAGACUGGCCUGGGCAACAUAGCAAGACUCUACAUCUCCGAAAAGAAAAAAAUAAAUGACAGAUUAAUGGAAAGAAGGGAGGGAAAAAGCAAGACUAUGGAAAUGAUGUUAGGCAAAAAGCAAACUCGAGCAAUUUUCUUAUUCGAGUUUGAAAUGGGUCAUAAAGCAGUGGAGACAACUCAUAGGAUCAACGACGCAUUUGGUCUAGCAACUGCUAACAAACGUACAGUGGAGUGGUGGUUCAAGAGGUUUUGCAAAGGAGACAAGAGCCUUGAAGAUGAAGAGCUAGUGGCCAGCCAUUGGAAGUUGAAAAGGACCAAUUGAGAGUAAUCAUUGAAGCUGAUCCUCUUACAAUUACACCAGAAGUUGCUGAAGCAAUCAACGUCAACCAUUCUAUGGUCAUUUGGCAUUUGAAGCAAAUUGGAAAGGUGAAAAAGCUUGAUAAGUGGAUGCCUCAUGAGCUGAGCAAAAAUUUAAAAAUUGUCAUUUUGAAGUGUCAUCUUCUCUUAUGCUACACAGCGACACGAACCAUUUCUUGAUUGGAUUGUGACAUGUGAAAAAAUGUGGCUUUAACACAACUCCAAAGACCACCUCAGUAGUUGGACUGAGAAGAGGCUCCAAAGCACUUCCCAAAGCCAAACUUGCAGGAAAAAUAGGUCAUGCUCCCUGUUUGGUGGUCUGCUGCCUGUCUGAUCCACUACAACUUUCUGAAUCCUGGUAAAACCAUUACAUCUGAGAAGUAUGCUCAGCAAAUCAAUGAGAUGCACCAAAAAUUGCAACGCCUACAGUAGGCAUUGGUCAACAGAGAGGGCCCAGUUCUUUUCCAUGACAACACCUGACCAUACAUCACACAACCAAUGCUUCAAAACUUGAAUGAAUUGGGCUACAAAGUUUUGCCUCAUCCACCAUAUCACCUGACCUCUCGCCAACCAACCACCACUUCUUCAAGCAUCUCAACAACUUUUUGCAGGGAAAAUGCUUCCACAACCAGCAGGAUGCAGAAAAUGCUUUCCAAGAGUUGGUCAAAUCCCAAAGCAUAGAUUUUUAUGCUACAGGAAUAAACAAACAUACUUCUCUUUGGCAAAAAUGUGUUGACUGUAAUGGUUCCUAUUUUGAUUAAUAAAGAUGUGUUUGAGCCUAGUUAUAAUGAU
This is a long non-coding RNA of Pan troglodytes (chimpanzee), 3411 nucleotides long. RefSeq lists it as uncharacterized. The transcript is spliced from 3 exons. The record is from RefSeq and is a predicted model, not a curated record. NCBI's taxonomy places the organism in Eukaryota, Metazoa, Chordata, Mammalia, Primates, Hominidae.